AGAGUUUGAUCAUGGCUCAGGACGAACGCUGGCGGCGUGCCUAAUACAUGCAAGUCGAGCGAGCGGAACUAACAGAUUUACUUCGGUAAUGACGCUGGGGACGCGAGCGGCGGAUGGGUGAGUAACACGUGGGGAACCUGCCCCAUAGUCUGGGAUACCACUUGGAAACAGGUGCUAAUACCGGAUAAGAAAGCAGAUCACAUGAUCAGCUUAUAAAAGGCGGCGUAAGCUGUCGCUAUGGGAUGGCCCCGCGGUGCAUUAGCUAGUUGGUAAGGUAACGGCUUACCAAGGCGAUGAUGCAUAGCCGAGUUGAGAGACUGAUCGGCCACAUUGGGACUGAGACACGGCCCAAACUCCUACGGGAGGCAGCAGUAGGGAAUCUUCCACAAUGGACGCAAGUCUGAUGGAGCAACGCCGCGUGAGUGAAGAAGGUUUUCGGAUCGUAAAGCUCUGUUGUUGGUGAAGAAGGAUAGAGGUAGUAACUGGCCUUUAUUUGACGGUAAUCAACCAGAAAGUCACGGCUAACUACGUGCCAGCAGCCGCGGUAAUACGUAGGUGGCAAGCGUUGUCCGGAUUUAUUGGGCGUAAAGCGAGCGCAGGCGGAAAAAUAAGUCUGAUGUGAAAGCCCUCGGCUUAACCGAGGAACUGCAUCGGAAACUGUUUUUCUUGAGUGCAGAAGAGGAGAGUGGAACUCCAUGUGUAGCGGUGGAAUGCGUAGAUAUAUGGAAGAACACCAGUGGCGAAGGCGGCUCUCUGGUCUGCAACUGACGCUGAGGCUCGAAAGCAUGGGUAGCGAACAGGAUUAGAUACCCUGGUAGUCC
Molecule: ribosomal RNA, 821 nt
Filed under: uncultured bacterium
Lineage: Bacteria
Description: bacterial SSU rRNA
Rfam family: Bacterial small subunit ribosomal RNA
Source: RNAcentral